GCACCGGGGACGGGACGGGACCGAGCGGCGGGGCCGCGGGUUGGCGGCGGUGGGGCCCCGGGGAGGCCGGGCCCCCUAAGGCGAGGAGGAGGAAGGAUAGGGAGACCCCCAGCUGGGACCUGGAACUGGUGUUUCUGGGAAGAGUGAGAAUAAGUGACUGAAACGUGGAAAGCCGGCAGUCAGUGUUCGCUAUUGUUUCCUGCGUUGGGCUUUUGAUGAUGGAAAACUCCCUGAGGGGAAAAGAACAAAACAAAACAAAACAAUCCCAGGGCAGCAAAGAAUCUUGAGCAAGAGGCUAUUUUUGGCUGAAAGUUUAGAAUAAGAACUUUUGAUCAGUUCUGUGAUUGUACAGCUUGGAAUAGGAAGAUGACUGUUUCUAAGGCGAAAAGAAAAAAAAAAAAAGAACUUGAGAGCUGUGAUUCACAGACUUUACUGCUGUCUACGAAUGUUCGUGCUGGGUCUGCUCUCAGCUGCCUGCAGUGGUGACACCUGGCUCUUCGUGGGGCUGGUGGCCUUCCCAAAACAUCCCCUGGACGACGUCCAGAGGCUGGGAGACACUGAUGGUUUGGGAAGGAACCUCUCCAAGAGAACUCCUUCGGCUGUUCCUUUUACCACUGUUAACGAUGUUCUGCACCAUUCUUCAUGGCUCAGAAGCGCAGCGUGGCACACUUUGAUCAAAAUGCAAGCACAGAAGUAUCUGCAAGAUUUGGGCUUGGGGAUGCUUCUACAAAUAUUUCUAGUUGGUGUGGAUGUUGCAUUGCAAUCACAUCAUAACCGUACCACUGAGCACAUUUUUCAUAAGCACGCCUGGCAAGGCAAAGUUCCUGCUGAAACUGUUUUCUGGAGACAGGGAUGACACUUUUAGGUGUGACCUGCACCUAGGCCUUUCAUCCUCUUUUUUAGAUGGGAGGAGGUGCUAAGCAGUCUGUGUGAAAGGCCUGAAGCACACGAAAUGAGGUAUGGUUAGGAAGAAAUUACAAAUAUUUGUGUAUAGAAUCAUAGGAUAUCCCAAGUUGGGCAUCUGUCAUGUGAUCUACAUGGUCAGCUACAUACACACCUUAAGAAAAACAAAUGCUAGAGAGAUACCUCUGGCAAUGCUGUUGGUGACCAGUUUUCCAGUAGUCUACAGGAUGAGAUUUGUUUUUGGAGCUAGAAAGAGCCCUGACAUUUCUCAUAUUCUAAUGUUUUAUUUUCUGUGCUUCCCUCUUGUAAUGUAGUUUUUAAAGGCACUGAAUAUAGCACGUGUCCACUUCUUCAAAAUAAAGUACAUGAAAUUUCAGAGCAAUUUUUGCAUUGAUAAGCCAAGUAUGUCCAGGGAGGGCAUCAAAUACAUUUUCAGGAGUGAUUUUUUUCCCUGUCAAAAAUGGAAAACUUUGGAGAGGUGAGGUGGUUUAAAAAAGGAGGAAAAACAAAUCUCUGUGUUGGGAUCAUGUAAACAUGUAGCAUUGACCAAGGUUAGCUCUGAGGGGGAAGAUGACUGCAGCCAUUUAAGAAAAAUGGGGGAAAAUAGCCUCAAGUCCAGCCGUAAAAUAAGGCUAAAAUUGCAUAAAUACCUCCUCCACUAUGUAACACAGCAGCCUGGUUGUUCUUUCAGCCAUACUGAAAGAACAAGACACUGUUUCUCCAGAAAUUUAUGAGGAAGAUAUGAUGGAGUGAUGCUUAAUUAUACCGACCAAGGACAAGACUUUGUGUAGUUGUAGGAUGUCUCUGCUGUGGCAGUCAGUUCCUGGCUCCCAAUGCCCACCCCAAUUGUUUCCUAACUUAAUUGCACUAUAUUAUAAUCCUAAAAUAAUUUGUUUCAUUCACCUUGAGUCACUCCUUGCUUUGUACAUUGCUAGAGAAGGAUAUGGACUCUAAUUUAGUAAAGCAGUCAAGCACAUCCUUACAUUUACAUGGAAAUCCUGAGAACCUAACCAGAGACUGUUUUCUGUUUGUUUUGUUUUGUUCUGUUCCGUCUUUUAAUGAUCUGGAUCACUGAUUGAUGUAUUUGGAGAUAGAUUUCUCAUAGGAAUCCUGCUACCUGUUUACAAAAGAGGUAAUUAAAGUGCCCUACGCAGGGAGUAAAGGCACCCUUGAUGCUGGCACUGAGCAUCGCACACAGAACUCCUUCCACCACACAGGCACACACGCACAGAGUCUUGCACAUAUGUUCUUAAUGAUGAUAAAAAGGAGAAAAUAGGCCCACAUGCUUUUUGGUUAUGUAAGCUUUCCAAGAAUUAUGCCUUUUAGACCAAAACCGGGAAGAGAAUGUUUCUGAGGUUCCUUAAUUUCCUCCUCUGCUUGAUCUGAUCUUCAGCUACCACUGCCCUUCCCACUGUCAUUUCACCUUGGAGAAAUACAGUGUCUCAGUGGACUCUUUAAAUGUAAUCCACACUAUAAAAUCAGCCUCAUUCAGAACAGAAACAGCUAUGAGUAAUCAGCACAGCUUUCAGUGUCAUGUAUUUGCAGUAAACUCUUCAUGGUCAGAAUAAAGCAACUCUGUCUCCGCAAAUGCUUUCUUGAGAAGAAAUAAAGUAGGUCUGGAUUCAGCAAA
Anas platyrhynchos (mallard) is the source of this 2533-nucleotide non-coding RNA. Lineage: Eukaryota; Metazoa; Chordata; Aves; Anseriformes; Anatidae. The record is from RefSeq and is a predicted model, not a curated record.